Molecule: ribosomal RNA, 274 nt
Filed under: uncultured bacterium
Lineage: Bacteria
Description: partial 16S ribosomal RNA
Rfam family: Bacterial small subunit ribosomal RNA
Source: RNAcentral
AUACGGAGGGUGCAAGCGUUACUCGGAAUCACUGGGCGUAAAGCGCAUGCAGGCGGUCUAAUAAGUUGGAAGUGAAAGCCUAUGGCUCAACCAUAGAACUGCUUCCAAAACUGUUAGACUAGAGUCUGGGAGGGGAAGAUGGAAUUAGUAGUGUAGGGGUAAAAUCCGUAGAGAUUACUAGGAAUACCAAAAGCGAAGGCGAUCUUCUGGAACAGUACUGACGCUGAGACGCGAAAGCGUGGGGAGCAAACAGGAUUAGAUACCCUAGUAGUCC